This 301-nucleotide ribosomal RNA is filed under the name uncultured bacterium. RNAcentral describes it as "partial 16S ribosomal RNA". It matches the Rfam family "Bacterial small subunit ribosomal RNA", at positions 509 to 807 of the family's 1533-position model. The record is from RNAcentral.
CAGUCGCCGCGGUAAUACGUAGGGUGCGAGCGUUAAUCGGAAUUACUGGGCGUAAAGCGUGCGCAGGCGGUUAUAUAAGACAGAUGUGAAAUCCCCGGGCUCAACCUGGGACCUGCAUUUGUGACCGUAUAGCUAGAGUACGGUAGAGGGGGAUGGAAUUCCGCGUGUAGCAGUGAAAUGCGUAGAUAUGCGGAGGAACACCGAUGGCGAAGGCAAUCCCCUGGACAAAGACUGACGCUCAGGUGCGAAAGCGUGGGGAGCAAACAGGAUUAGAUACCCCCGUAGUCCCUGUCUCUUAUAC